Esox lucius (northern pike) is the source of this 989-nucleotide long non-coding RNA. RefSeq lists it as uncharacterized. The record is from RefSeq and is a predicted model, not a curated record. Lineage: Eukaryota; Metazoa; Chordata; Actinopteri; Esociformes; Esocidae. The transcript has 3 exons.
CACAAGAAACCCUUCCAACCUGCGACCCACAGAUGUAGACCCACACGUAUUCAUGCAUAGCUGGCGGAGAGAAAUGUUCCAGGACUUCGUACUGUUAUGCAGCGUUUUACGACCCAAGUGUUUCUUUUACGAUGAUCUUCACUGAGGAUGAUGAAAAGCACAGUUGAGGUUUUAGCGGUUUCUUAAACCACUGCGGUAAAUCACGGUACAUAUGGUUGGGAGACGCGUGGACAUGCCAGCUGACCCUGUCCGUUUAUCUGCACGCCUGUCAGUCUUAUUUAACUCGCUCGGUGGCACAGUGGCUGGUCAGUUCAUACGGGAGCCCAUGGACAUGUUGCUGCUGUCACCGCACAGCUUUCCGUGACCCGAUGAGGAGCCACCGGCCUACAGAAACCUGUGAGACUCAUGCUGUGUGCGUACGUGUCUGGGAGGGCUGACGGGAGGGAACGCCACAGAGGGUUGGUCAUCACGCAGUCCAGUGGAAACCAGCACCGAGUGAAAACCCCCAUAGAUAGAUUCACCAGCAUGGAGAGAGGGCGGUGCAGCUGAGCCCAUAUAAACAGGGCCGAGCCAACAGCAGCAGGCAGCCCUCAUGUUCAGUGCCUGGAGAGCUUUGGGCCACGUUACACCCGCCACUUUCCUUCGCUGUCUUUCUGUUUGAUCCACGCUGUUCUCCUUAUCUGAUUCAUCCACUCAGAGAGGAGAUGUUAUCAUGGAGGUCCCAACCAUCUGUUGCACUGAUACAGUGUCUUCUUGGGCUCUUGUCCCCCACAACCACCUAUACACACUGCUCCUCACUCUCUCCACCCCCCUGGCUGAUUCCCUAACUUCAUUGGAAAAAGUGAGGUCAGCACCACUUCCACAUUAAAACACUGCUUUCUUAAAGUUGCCAUGCAUUUGAGGUGGAUGUGGAGGCUGACAGAACCGCGUCUGUAACUGACCAGGAAUGAGCCAAACUCCAAAAUCAUAACCUGUAAUAAAGGAACCAU